This 545-nucleotide ribosomal RNA is filed under the name Catunica adiposa. Its description in RNAcentral is "eukaryotic LSU rRNA". It matches the Rfam family "Eukaryotic large subunit ribosomal RNA", at positions 82 to 651 of the family's 3401-position model. Lineage: Eukaryota; Fungi; Ascomycota; Sordariomycetes; Microascales; Ceratocystidaceae. The record is from RNAcentral.
AGUACGGCGAGUGAAGCGGCAACAGCUCAAAUUUGAAUCUGGCUACUUCGUAGUCCGAGUUGUAAUUUGUAGAGGAUGCUUUUGGUGAAGUGCUUUCUGAGUUCCCUGGAACGGGACGCCAGAGAGGGUGAGAGCCCCGUACAGUUAGCAACUGAUCCUUUGUAUAGCUCCUUCGACGAGUCGAGUAGUUUGGGAAUGCUGCUCUAAAUGGGAGGUAUAUCUCUUCUAAAGCUAAAUAUAGGCUAGAGACCGAUAGCGCACAAGUAGAGUGAUCGAAAGAUGAAAAGCACUUUGAAAAGAGAGUUAAACAGCACGUGAAAUUGUUGAAAGGGAAGCGCCUAUGACCAGACUUGUCUCUAUCAGUUUUGGUAGUUUUCGGACUGCUUUACUCUGUUAGUACAGGCCAACAUCAGUUUGUUGUCGGGGAGAAAGGCUUAGGGAAUGUGGCUCCUUCGGGAGUGUUAUAGCCCUUUGCAUAAUACCCUUCGGCAGACUGAGGACCGCGCUUCGGCAAGGAUGUUGGCGUAAUGGUCAUCAGCGACCCG